Molecule: ribosomal RNA, 437 nt
Filed under: Trapezionida lenticularis
Lineage: Eukaryota; Metazoa; Arthropoda; Malacostraca; Decapoda; Munididae
Description: Munida lenticularis partial large subunit ribosomal RNA
Rfam family: Bacterial large subunit ribosomal RNA (bases 322-437)
Source: RNAcentral
GUGCAAAGGUAGCAUAAUCAUUAGUUUUUUAAUUGAAGGCUUGUAUGAAGGGUUGGACAAAGAAUAAUCUGUUUCUAUUUUUAUUUUUGAAUUUAACUUUUAAGUGAAAAGGCUUAAAUAAUUUUAAGGGACGAUAAGACCCUAUAAAUCUUUAUAUUAAGUUAUUUUUAGUUAAUUAAUGUGGUAAAUAUAAUAAUUAAAUAAUGUAUAUUGUGUUGGGGUGAUAAGAAUAUAAUAAAUAACUGUUCUAAAAUUAAAACAAUAUUAUUUGUAAUUAAUAGUAGAUCCUUUAUUGAGAUUAAAAGUUUAAGUUACUUUAGGGAUAACAGCGUUAUUUUUUUUGAGAGUUCUUAUCGAAAAAAAAGUUUGCGACCUCGAUGUUGAAUUAAAAUUUCUUUGUGGUGUAGCUGUUACAGGAGAGAGUCUGUUCGACUUUU